AGCCACGUGAGGAUGUUCACUCCGCUUACUGGUCAGAUGUGUGUGGGGCGGGAGCAAGAACAUAAACACAGGAAGAAGGUCCGGAAGAAGCUCCUCUGGCCAGAUGCAACAUUCUUGUUGUACUAGUCCAGUACAUCGGUCCUUGUUGAGGUCAUGGCCACCUGUGAUGCCUCCACCAUGCCUGCUACAUACAGCAGACUGGUGUACUCACCUAUGACCCCCUUCAACGGAUGGCAAGCUCAUUUACA
Molecule: long non-coding RNA, 248 nt
Organism: Thunnus maccoyii (southern bluefin tuna)
Lineage: Eukaryota; Metazoa; Chordata; Actinopteri; Scombriformes; Scombridae
Exons: 3
Source: RefSeq, a predicted model, not a curated record